This 253-nucleotide ribosomal RNA is filed under the name uncultured bacterium. RNAcentral describes it as "partial 16S ribosomal RNA". It matches the Rfam family "Bacterial small subunit ribosomal RNA", at positions 524 to 776 of the family's 1533-position model. The record is from RNAcentral.
UACGGAAGGGGCAAGCGUUGUUCGGAAUCAUUGGGCGUAAAGCGCGUGUAGGCGGCCCGAUAAGUCCGCUGUGAAAGUCGGGGGCUCAACCCUCGGAUGCCGGUGGAUACUGUCGGGCUCGAGUACGGAAGAGGCGAGUGGAAUUCCUGGUGUAGCGGUGAAAUGCGCAGAUAUCAGGAGGAACACCAAUUGCGAAGGCAGCUCGCUGGGACGUUACUGACGCUGAGACGCGAAAGCGUGGGGAGCAAACAGG